RNAcentral lists this long non-coding RNA (1242 nucleotides) under Heterocephalus glaber (naked mole-rat). Its description in RNAcentral is "lncRNA (ENSHGLG00100034349.1)". The record is from RNAcentral. Lineage: Eukaryota; Metazoa; Chordata; Mammalia; Rodentia; Bathyergidae.
AGGGAUUGAACUUGAGUCCUUGUGCUUGCGCAGCAGGUGGCGAAACCACUCCCUUUUUCUUUUUUGAUUGCCACAGGAUCUGGGCCUCACUACCGUGUGGGAAGAUCAGCUUUCUUAUCUUUUGUCGCCAGCCCUGGCCUCCUAUGAAUUUGAGCGCACAACGAGCAUAUCUGCAGGAAAUGAGGAGUUUCAGGACGCCAUCAGGAGGGCUGUGCCUGACGGGCACACAUUUAAGGGCUUCCCCAUCCACUUCGUGUACAGAAAUGCAAGGCGUGCAUUUGCCACGUGUCUUCGGUCCCCGUUUUGUGAAGAAAUAAUCUGUUGCCGUGGAGACCAAGUGCACUGGCAGUGCGUGUCCAGUGUUCACUUACCCUGAGUCGGCCUGUGCUGUUUGGAUCAUGUUUGCUUGUGAAUGAGAUUAUCUUUCACAAAUUAAGGAGAAAUUAACCUUACAACUGUACAGCCAUACCACCCUGAAUGCGCCCAAUCUCGUCAUAUCUGAAGCUAAGCAGGGCUGGGCCUGUUAGUACUUGGAUGAGAAACCUCACAACAGACUUGCUUAUUACGUGGGUGAAAAUAUAUUUUACCAAGUCAUCACUUUUGUGGUUCACCUAUGAUGCUAGGGAUCUUUGAGAUUUUCCAGAAAUGCAUGAGAAGACUCUGAAGUAAGAACAGGAAAAAAUACCAGGAAAGCAUAGAUAUGAAUAACAAAGCUCACAUGAAAGUACAUGGAUAAUUUAUAAAUACUUAUUAUCAAAAUUGAGUAUUUUAGAAAAAAAUAGGUUGCACCCUUUUGUCAUGAACAUUUUCUGUAAUUAACAUUGCGAGUCUAUCCCUGAUUUUUGGUGGUCAAAAGAUUAAUUUGUUUUUGGUUUUUUUGUUUUUUAUUUAUAUAUUAAUUGGUACAUUUUAGGUAUGAAAUACGUUUACAUUUAUCAUUGGGUGCUUGUACCUGAACGUGAUGAAUCUUGGUUCUUAUUUUUUUCCCCAUUACCUGUGCGCCCUUCACCCCCUCCACCCCCUCCCCUAUUUACAUAGACUUUGUUUCCUUUUUUCUUUUCUUUUUUUUUUUUCUUAUGAGAAUAAUUUUUCCUUUCCUUUCUUCCCUUUCCCCUUCCCCUCCCGCCACCCGUACGCCUUUGCACCUUUUCCUAUUUCAAAGUUUAAUAUUUUUUAAAGAUUAAUUUCUUUAUGGAUUCCACCCUCCGAAACUGAUUUUCCCCUUCUUUCUCGUGUUACCAG